UCAAGUAAUUAAGUGCAUGUGGUGGAUGCCUUGGCAGUCAGAGGCGAUGAAAGACGUGAUAGCCUGCGAAAAGCUCCGGGGAGGCGGCAAAUAUCCUUUGAUCCGGAGAUGUCUGAAUGGGGGAACCCACCUACUUUAAGGUAGGUAUUGCAACAUGAAUACAUAGUGUUGCAAGGCGAACGAGGGGAAGUGAAACAUCUCAGUACCCUUAGGAAAAGAAAUCAAUUGAGAUUCCCUCAGUAGCGGCGAGCGAACGGGGAUCAGCCCAUUAAGUUAUGUGUGUUUUAGUGGAACGCUCUGGGAAGUGCGAACGUAGAGGGUGAUAUUCCCGUACACGAAAGGGCACACAUAAUGAUGACGAGUAGGGCGAGGCACGUGAAACCUUGUCUGAAUAUGGGGGGACCAUCCUCCAAGGCUAAAUACUCCUGACUGACCGAUAGUGAACCAGUACCGUGAGGGAAAGGCGAAAAGAACCCCUGUGAGGGGAGUGAAAUAGAUCCUGAAACCGCAUGCAUACAAGCAGUGGGAGCACCUUCGUGGUGUGACUGCGUACCUUUUGUAUAAUGGGUCAGCGACUUAUAUUCAGUAGCGAGGUUAACCGUAUAGGGGAGCCGUAGAGAAAUCGAGUCUUAAUAGGGCGUUUAGUUGCUGGGUAUAGACCCGAAACCAGGCGAUCUAUCCAUGAGCAGGUUGAAGGUUGGGUAACACUAACUGGAGGACCGAACCCACUGUCGUUGAAAAGCCAGGGGAUGACUUGUGGAUAGGGGUGAAAGGCUAAUCAAGCCUGGUGAUAGCUGGUUCUCCCCGAAAGCUAUUUAGGUAGCGCCUCGGACGAAUACCAUAGGGGGUAGAGCACUGUUUCGGCUAGGGGGUCAUCCCGACUUACCAAACCGAUGCAAACUCCGAAUACCUAUGAGUACUAUCCGGGAGACAGACUGCGGGUGCUAACGUCCGUAGUCAAGAGGAAAACAAUCCAGACCGCCAGCUAAGGCCCCAAAAUCAUAGUUAAGUGGGAAACGAUGUGGGAAGGCAUAGACAGCUAGGAGGUUGGCUUAGAAGCAGCCACCCUUUAAAGAAAGCGUAAUAGCUCACUAGUCGAGUCGGCCUGCGCGGAAGAUGUAACGGGGCUAAAACUAUGUGCCGAAGCUGCGGAUGUAUACUUUGUAUACGUGGUAGGGGAGCGUUCUGUAAGCCGAUGAAGGUGUGUUGAGAAGCAUGCUGGAGGUAUCAGAAGUGCGAAUGCUGACGUGAGUAACGACAAAACGGGUGAAAAACCCGUUCGCCGAAAGACCAAGGGUUCCAGUCCAACGUUAAUCGGGGCUGGGUGAGUCGACCCCUAAGGCGAGGCCGAAAGGCGUAGUCGAUGGGAAAAUGGUUAAUAUUCCAUUACUUCUGUGUAAUGCGAUGAGAGGACGGAGAAGGCUAAAUCAGCCUGGCGUUGGUUGUCCAGGUGAAAGGAUGUAGGCAUGUAUCUUAGGCAAAUCCGGGGUACUCUAUGCUGAGAUCUGAUAGCAAGCUGUACUUGUACAGCGAAGUGGUUGAUGCCAUGCUUCCAGGAAAAGUCUCUAAGCUUCAGUUACACAGGAAUCGUACCCGAAACCGACACAGGUGGUCAGGUCGAGUAGACCAAGGCGCUUGAGAGAACUCUGCUGAAGGAACUAGGCAAAAUGGUACCGUAACUUCGGGAGAAGGUACGCUGUUGUUGGUGAUGGAACUCGCUUCCUGAGCUGACGACAGCCGCAGAAACCAGGCCGCUGCAACUGUUUAUUAAAAACAUAGCACUCUGCAAACACGAAAGUGGACGUAUAGGGUGUGAUGCCUGCCCGGUGCUGGAAGGUUAAUUGAUGGGGUUAGCGUAAGCGAAGCUCUUGAUCGAAGCCCCAGUAAACGGCGGCCGUAACUAUAACGGUCCUAAGGUAGCGAAAUUCCUUGUCGGGUAAGUUCCGACCUGCACGAAUGGCAUAAUGAUGGCGGCGCUGUCUCCAGCAGAGGCUCAGUGAAAUCGAAAUCGCUGUGAAGAUGCAGUGUACCCGCGGCUAGACGGAAAGACCCCGUGAACCUUUACUGCAGCUUGACACUGAACUUUGACCUUACUUGUGUAGGAUAGGUGGGAGGCUUUGAAGCUGGAACGCUAGUUCCAGUGGAGCCGUCCUUGAAAUACCACCCUGGUAAUGUUGAGGUUCUAACUCUGUCCCGUGAUCCGGGACGAGGACCGUGUCUGGUGGGUAGUUUGACUGGGGCGGUCUCCUCCUAAAGAGUAACGGAGGAGUACGAAGGUGCGCUCAGCGUGGUCGGAAAUCACGCGUAGAGUAUAAAGGCAAAAGCGCGCUUAACUGCGAGACCCACAAGUCGAGCAGGUACGAAAGUAGGUCUUAGUGAUCCGGUGGUUCUGUAUGGAAGGGCCAUCGCUCAACGGAUAAAAGGUACUCUGGGGAUAACAGGCUGAUACCGCCCAAGAGUUCAUAUCGACGGCGGUGUUUGGCACCUCGAUGUCGGCUCAUCUCAUCCUGGGGCUGAAGCAGGUCCCAAGGGUAUGGCUGUUCGCCAUUUAAAGAGGUACGCGAGCUGGGUUUAGAACGUCGUGAGACAGUUCGGUCCCUAUCUACCGUGGGCGCUGGAAAUUUGAGAGGAUCUGCUCCUAGUACGAGAGGACCAGAGUGGACGAACCUCUGGUGUACCGGUUGUGACGCCAGUCGCAUCGCCGGGUAGCUAUGUUCGGAAGGGAUAACCGCUGAAAGCAUCUAAGCGGGAAGCCUACCUCAAGAUAAGAUUUCCCUAGGACUUUAUGUCCUCUAAAGAGCCGUUCGAGACUAGGACGUUGAUAGGUUGGAUGUGGAAGCAUAGUGAUAUGUAAGCUGACCAAUACUAAUUGCUCGUGAGGCUUGACUAU
Molecule: ribosomal RNA, 2890 nt
Filed under: Acinetobacter baumannii 42057_3
Lineage: Bacteria; Pseudomonadati; Pseudomonadota; Gammaproteobacteria; Moraxellales; Moraxellaceae
Description: bacterial LSU rRNA
Rfam family: Bacterial large subunit ribosomal RNA
Source: RNAcentral